RNAcentral lists this ribosomal RNA (1094 nucleotides) under Triplophysa hsutschouensis. Its description in RNAcentral is "partial large subunit ribosomal RNA". It matches the Rfam family "Bacterial large subunit ribosomal RNA", at positions 144 to 2058 of the family's 2925-position model. The record is from RNAcentral. Lineage: Eukaryota; Metazoa; Chordata; Actinopteri; Cypriniformes; Nemacheilidae.
ACCACCAAAAUUAACUCAAAAGUAUAGAUAAUUUAGCAUUGAAUAAAUAACGAAACUAAAUCAUUUUUCCACCUUAGUACGGGAGACGGAAAAGGUAAUUUAAGCAAUAGAGAAAGUACCGCAAGGGAAAGCUGAAAGAGUAAUGAAAUAAUUCAUUUAAGCACAAAAAAGCAGAGCUUAACCCUUGUACCUUUUGCAUCAUGAUUUAGCCAGCACUACCCAAGCAAAGUGACCUUUAGUUUGAAACCCCGAAACCAAGUGAGCUACCCCGGGACAGCCUUAAAGGGCGAACCCGUCUCUGUGGCAAAAGAGUGGGAAGAGCCCCGGGUAGAGGUGAUAAACCUACCGAACUUGGUGAUAGCUGGUUGCCUGAGAAAUGAAUAGAAGUUCAGCCUCGUAUCCCUUUAGCCAACCAAGAAAUAUCUAAAUAAGCACAAAAGAGAAAUACGAGAGUUAGUUGAAGGGGGUACAGCCCCUUUAAUAAAGGACACAACCUUAAAUAGGUGGAUAAGAGUCACAUUUUAUAAAACUAGUUGUUCCAGUGGGCCUAAAAGCAGCCAUCUGAGUAGAAAGCGUUAAAGCUCAAACAACAUGCAGUUUAUUAUACUGAUAAAUAACCCAACUCCCCUAGAAAUAUUAGGCCAUUCCAUGCCACCAUGGAAGAGACCAUGCUAAAAUGAGUAACAGGAGGAUAUGAUCCUCUCCUAGCACAAGUGUAAGCCAGAUCGGACAAACCACUGGAAAUUAACGAGCCCAGAAAAAGAGGGUAAUGUGGCCAACAAAGAAAUCAGGAAAAUACCACAGCAUUUAUAUCGUUAAACCCACACUGGAGUGCCUCCAAGGAAAGACUAAAAGAAAGGGAAGGAACUCGGCAAACACAAGCCUCGCCUGUUUACCAAAAACAUCGCCUCCUGCAAAUCCCUACGUAUAGGAGGUCCAGCCUGCCCGGUGACUACAAGUUUAACGGCCGCGGUAUUUUGACCGUGCAAAGGUAGCGCAAUCACUUGUCUUUUAAAUGAAGACCUGUAUGAAUGGCUAAACGAGGGCUUAGCUGUCUCCCUUUUCAGGUCAGUGAAAUUGAUCUACCCGUGCAG